UAGGUAUUAAGAGUGUUUUCGAUUGGCC
This 28-nucleotide non-coding RNA is filed under the name Bombyx mori (domestic silkworm). The record is from RNAcentral. Lineage: Eukaryota; Metazoa; Arthropoda; Insecta; Lepidoptera; Bombycidae.